RNAcentral lists this ribosomal RNA (261 nucleotides) under Triticum aestivum (bread wheat). RNAcentral describes it as "partial small subunit ribosomal RNA". The record is from RNAcentral. Lineage: Eukaryota; Viridiplantae; Streptophyta; Magnoliopsida; Poales; Poaceae.
AUACCGCCUCCGGCGGGAGCAGCUAAAAUUAACGUGGACGCCGCAGUUGGGAGAGGAGGGAGACAUGGAGCUGCGGGAGCUAUAUGCAGAGACCACUCGGGUGCUUUCGUGGGAGCUUCGGCAAUGGUGUUCAUGAGGAUCUCAGACCCAGCUACUCUUGAAUGCUUGGCAAUUAGGGAGUCUCUUUCCCUGGCAGAGGAUCUGUAUGACCGGAAGAUUCAAGUUCCAUCAGAUUGCAAGGUGGUUGUGGAAGAUGUCUGA